This 515-nucleotide ribosomal RNA is filed under the name uncultured bacterium. RNAcentral describes it as "partial 16S ribosomal RNA". It matches the Rfam family "Bacterial small subunit ribosomal RNA", at positions 28 to 523 of the family's 1533-position model. The record is from RNAcentral.
GAUGAACGCUGGCGGCGUGCCUAAUACAUGCAAGUCGAGCGAAUGGAUUGAGAGCUUGCUCUUAUGAAGUUAGCGGCGGACGGGUGAGUAACACGUGGGUAACCUGCCCAUAAGACUGGGAUAACUCCGGGAAACCGGGGCUAAUACCGGAUAACAUUUUGAACCGCAUGGUUCGAAAUUGAAAGGCGGCUUCGGCUGUCACUUAUGGAUGGAUCCGCGUCGCAUUAGCUAGUUGGUGAGGUAACGGCUCACCAAGGCAACGAUGCGUAGCCGACCGACGAGGGUGAUUGGCCACACUGUGACUGAGACACGGCCCAGACUCCUACGGGAGACAGCAGUAGGGAAUCUUCCGAAAUGGACGAAAGUCUGACGGAGCAACGCCGCGUGAGUGAGGAAGGCUUUCGGGUCGUAAAACUCUGUUGUUAGGGAAGAACAAGUGCUAGUUGAAUAAGCUGGCACCGUGACGGUACCUAACCAGAAAGCCACGGCUAACUACGUGCCAGCCGCCGCGGUAA